UAGGGAAUAUUGGACAAUGGGGGCAACCCUGAUCCAGCCAUGCCGCGUGAGUGAAGAAGGCCCUCGGGUUGUAAAGCUCUUUUGUCCGGAAAGAAAAGCUUCGGGUUAAUACCCCGGGGUUCUGACGGUACCGUAAGAAUAAGCACCGGCUAACUACGUGCCAGCAGCCGCGGUAAUACGUAGGGUGCAAGCGUUAAUCGGAAUUACAGGGCGUAAAGCGUGCGCAGGCGGUUGUGUAAGACAGAGGUGAAAUCCCCGGGCUCAACCUAGGAACUGCCUUUGUGACUGCAAAGCUGGAGUGCGGCAGAGGGGGAUGGAAUUCCGCGUGUAGCAGUGAAAUGCGUAGAUAUGCGGAGGAACACCGAUGGCGAAGGCAAUCCCCUGGGCCUGCACUGACGCUCAUGCACGAAAGC
RNAcentral lists this ribosomal RNA (413 nucleotides) under uncultured bacterium. Its description in RNAcentral is "bacterial SSU rRNA". It matches the Rfam family "Bacterial small subunit ribosomal RNA", at positions 355 to 760 of the family's 1533-position model. The record is from RNAcentral.